RNAcentral lists this transfer RNA (73 nucleotides) under Geodermatophilaceae bacterium. RNAcentral describes it as "tRNA-Arg". It matches the Rfam family "tRNA". Rfam says of the family: Transfer RNA (tRNA) molecules are approximately 80 nucleotides in length. The record is from RNAcentral. RNAcentral also lists the same sequence under 3 other names. Lineage: Bacteria; Bacillati; Actinomycetota; Actinomycetes; Geodermatophilales; Geodermatophilaceae.
GCGCCCGUAGCUCAACGGAUAGAGCAUCUGACUACGGAUCAGAAGGUUGCGGGUUCGAAUCCCUCCGGGCGCG